CUGAGGUUCGUCUAUCAGCUUGUAAACUGCUUUUAACGUGAAGAAUGAGGGCCGUUUUUUUCCUGUAAAAUCCAACCUUGUCUUGCAAAACAGGAACGCCAAGCAUGUGAAAUAUAUAGUGAUAUUGUGUUUUUAGUGUGUGUCGCACUCACUGUUUUGACCGAUGCUCACUCGCGUCUACGUAGUGCGAGCACAAGCACGAGCAAUGGGGCGCUGACUUUCAUCGACUUAACGGCCACAGGUGUAACUGUUAAAAAGCCAUUUCUGAUUCUAACAUAUAGCCCCUUUAA
Molecule: long non-coding RNA, 290 nt
Organism: Sebastes umbrosus (honeycomb rockfish)
Lineage: Eukaryota; Metazoa; Chordata; Actinopteri; Perciformes; Sebastidae
Exons: 2
Source: RefSeq, a predicted model, not a curated record